GGCUUACCAUGCAAGUCGAGCGGAGAGAGGUAGCUUGCUACUGAUCUUAGCGGCGGACGGGUGAGUAAUGCUUAGGAAUCUGCCUAUUAGUGGGGGACAACAUUUCGAAAGGAAUGCUAAUACCGCAUACGUCCUACGGGAGAAAAGCAGGGGAUCUUCGGACCUUGCGCUUAAUAGAUGAGCCUUAAGUCGGGAUUAGCUUAGUUGGGUGGGGGUAAAGGCCUACCAAGGCGACGAUCUGGUAGCGGGUUCUGRAGAGGGAUGRAUCCGCCCACCACUGGGGGACUGGAGAACACGGGCCCCAGAACUUCCUACGGGGRAGGCAGCAGUGGGGGAAUAUUGGACAAUGGGCGCCAAGCCUGAUCCAGCCAUGGCCGCGUGGUGUGGAAGAAAGGCCCUUAUGGGUUGUUAAAGCCACUUUUUAAGCCGAAGGAGGGAAGGCUUACCUUUUUAAGUUUAAAUACCCUUAGAAGAAUAGUGGGGACGGUUUAACUUCCGCCAAGAAAAUUAAAAGCCAACCC
This 521-nucleotide ribosomal RNA is filed under the name Acinetobacter baumannii. RNAcentral describes it as "bacterial SSU rRNA". It matches the Rfam family "Bacterial small subunit ribosomal RNA", at positions 45 to 533 of the family's 1533-position model. Lineage: Bacteria; Pseudomonadati; Pseudomonadota; Gammaproteobacteria; Moraxellales; Moraxellaceae. The record is from RNAcentral.